Molecule: ribosomal RNA, 253 nt
Filed under: uncultured bacterium
Lineage: Bacteria
Description: partial 16S ribosomal RNA
Rfam family: Bacterial small subunit ribosomal RNA
Source: RNAcentral
UACAGAGGUCCCAAGCGUUGUUCGGAUUUACUGGGCGUAAAGGGUGCGUAGGCGGUCGGAUAAGUUUGAUGUGAAAUCUUCGGGCUUAACCCGGAAACUGCAUUGAAUACUAUUCGGCUUGAGGACUGGAGGGGGGACUGGAAUUCUCGGUGUAGCAGUGAAAUGCGUAGAUAUCGAGAGGAACACCAGUGGCGAAGGCGAGUCCCUGGACAGAUCCUGACGCUGAGGCACGAAAGCUAGGGGAGCAAACAGG